RNAcentral lists this ribosomal RNA (410 nucleotides) under Salmonella enterica subsp. enterica serovar Typhimurium str. CDC_2009K1288. RNAcentral describes it as "bacterial SSU rRNA". It matches the Rfam family "Bacterial small subunit ribosomal RNA", at positions 1124 to 1533 of the family's 1533-position model. The record is from RNAcentral. Lineage: Bacteria; Pseudomonadati; Pseudomonadota; Gammaproteobacteria; Enterobacterales; Enterobacteriaceae.
AUUAAGGUCGGGAACUCAAAGGAGACUGCCAGUGAUAAACUGGAGGAAGGUGGGGAUGACGUCAAGUCAUCAUGGCCCUUACGACCAGGGCUACACACGUGCUACAAUGGCGCAUACAAAGAGAAGCGACCUCGCGAGAGCAAGCGGACCUCAUAAAGUGCGUCGUAGUCCGGAUUGGAGUCUGCAACUCGACUCCAUGAAGUCGGAAUCGCUAGUAAUCGUGGAUCAGAAUGCCACGGUGAAUACGUUCCCGGGCCUUGUACACACCGCCCGUCACACCAUGGGAGUGGGUUGCAAAAGAAGUAGGUAGCUUAACCUUCGGGAGGGCGCUUACCACUUUGUGAUUCAUGACUGGGGUGAAGUCGUAACAAGGUAACCGUAGGGGAACCUGCGGUUGGAUCACCUCCUUA